GUGUAAGCUUCGGUAGCACAUACAUUUAAACUGGUAAAUAAAGAGAAGAUUAGCAUUGUCUCUUGCAAAGAUGAUAUGCAAGGUUUUUGAAGCCUUCCAUCAUUUU
This is a small nuclear RNA of Cavia porcellus (domestic guinea pig), 106 nucleotides long. The record is from Ensembl. NCBI's taxonomy places the organism in Eukaryota, Metazoa, Chordata, Mammalia, Rodentia, Caviidae.